CUGAAGGAUCGCUGGGGGCUGUGUUGACGGCUGAUGACUACAGAAGGUGAUAAUGAAUACUGAAGAUUCUAAGAAGAUCAUAAGAGAGAAGUACAUGCAGAAACAGAAAAAGUCCAUAAACUCGAAUUUUGUGUGAUUCAACCAAGUACGGAAAUGAAAAAAUUAGAAAAAAAAAUCAACAUUUUGCAGUCUACAGUGAAAUACUCAACUCAGAAGUGCCUCUCCAGAGUGUCGGUGCUCAAAAGCUAUGAGGUAGUCUCUGUGCUGCCUCUUAUGGCCCACAGAAGUUCAUGUGCAAGGUUAUUCAAGGGUAAGUCUUCGUAGCAAACAUGGGCCUGUGGGCCAGAGGAUUUCUACUUCUGUUCGUUAGUGGAAGGAAAAGGUGCAUGAAGCUGAAUGGGA
Heterocephalus glaber (naked mole-rat) is the source of this 402-nucleotide long non-coding RNA. RefSeq lists it as uncharacterized. Lineage: Eukaryota; Metazoa; Chordata; Mammalia; Rodentia; Bathyergidae. The record is from RefSeq and is a predicted model, not a curated record.